UAUUAUAAUUUUAAAUAAUAUAUUAUUUUUAAAACAAUUAUAAAUAAAAUAAAUAUAUUUACAAUAUUAUGAAAUGUAAUUAUUAAUAUAAAUGUUUUUGUAAACGAGCCAGCUUAAGAGCUUAUUUACGAACCUAUUCAAUGAGCUUGUUCACGAGCUUGUUCAAUAAGCUGACGUGAGUUUGGUUCAUUUAUCAAUCGAGCCUAAAAUUCGAGCUCGAGCUCGAACUCGACUUGUUUAAAAAACAAACCGAAUCAAACUGAGUUUUUAUCGAGUUGAACCUCGAGUAGCAUGCGAAUAGUUUGGUUCGUUUACACCCCUACUUUUGCUGUUAGCUCACCUCCCAAUCAUCAUUAACCACUAUUUUUGGGUCACUAACACACUGCCUCUGGCUUCUUAUGGAUUUGUAUACUUACCAUUACUACCUAUUUGCAAUCUCCAGAUUCUAAUCACAUAUCUAGCAACUUCCUUUGAUUGCAUCCCAUACCUUAACAUCUCUUGUAAUUUUUUUUAAUUAUUUAUUUUAAUAUUCUGAAUAUCCUAUAUGAUAAAUGAUAAUGAAGGAUGGUCUCAUGCAUGCUAAUUUAGACACACACACACACACACAUAUA
Molecule: unclassified non-coding RNA, 611 nt
Filed under: Hevea brasiliensis (rubber tree)
Lineage: Eukaryota; Viridiplantae; Streptophyta; Magnoliopsida; Malpighiales; Euphorbiaceae
Source: RNAcentral